This 468-nucleotide ribosomal RNA is filed under the name uncultured bacterium. RNAcentral describes it as "partial 16S ribosomal RNA". It matches the Rfam family "Bacterial small subunit ribosomal RNA", at positions 28 to 507 of the family's 1533-position model. The record is from RNAcentral.
GACGAACGCUGGCGGCGUGCUUAACACAUGCAAGUCGAACGGAAAGGCCCUGCUUUUGUGGGGUGCUCGAGUGGCGAACGGGUGAGUAACACGUGAGUAACCUGCCCUUGACUUUGGGAUAACUUCAGGAAACUGGGGCUCAUACCGGAUAGGAGCUCCUGCUGCAUGUUGGGGGUUGGAAGGUUUCGGCGGUUGGGGAUGGACUCGCGGCUUAUCAGCUUGUUUGUGUGGUAGUGGCUUACCAAGGCUUUGACGGGUAGCCGGCCUGAGAGGGUGACCGGCCACAUUGGGACUGAGAUACGGCCCAGACUCCUACGGGAGGCAGCAGUGGAGAAUAUUGCACAAUGGGCGGAAGCCUGAUGCAGCAACGCCGCGUGCGGGAUGACGGCCUUCGGGUUGUAAACCGCUUUGGCCUGUGACGAAGCGUGAGUGACGGUAAUGGGUAAAGAAGCACCGGCUAACUACGUG